This 472-nucleotide ribosomal RNA is filed under the name uncultured bacterium. RNAcentral's name for it is "partial 16S ribosomal RNA". It matches the Rfam family "Bacterial small subunit ribosomal RNA", at positions 28 to 507 of the family's 1533-position model. The record is from RNAcentral.
GACGAACGCUGGCGGCGUGCUUAACACAUGCAAGUCGAACGCUGAAGCUUGGUGCUUGCACUGGGUGGAUGAGUGGCGAACGGGUGAGUAAUACGUGAGUAACCUGCCCUUGACUCUGGGAUAAGCCUGGGAAACUGGGUCUAAUACUGGAUACGACAUGCCACUGCAUGGUGGUGUGUGGAAAGGGUUUUACUGGUUUUGGAUGGGCUCACGGCCUAUCAGCUUGUUGGUGGGGUAAUGGCCUACCAAGGCGACGACGGGUAGCCGGCCUGAGAGGGUGACCGUCCACACUGGGACUGAGACACGGCCCAGACUCCUACGGGAGGCAGCAGUGGGGAAUAUUGCACAAUGGGCGGAAGCCUGAUGCAGCGACGCCGCGUGAGGGAUGACGGCCUUCGGGUUGUAAACCUCUUUCAGCACGGAAGAAGCGAGAGUGACGGUACGUGCAGAAGAAGCGCCGGCUAACUACGUG